This is a long non-coding RNA of Homo sapiens (human), 417 nucleotides long. Lineage: Eukaryota; Metazoa; Chordata; Mammalia; Primates; Hominidae. The record is from Ensembl.
CGCAGAGGCUGCUGCUUCGCCACUUGCUGCUUCGCCACGAAGGAGUUCCCGUGCCCUGGGAGCGGGUUCAGGACCGCGGAUCGGAAGCGACGUGCUCCCGGCGAAGGAGGCCGCCUGCCUGGGGGCGGGCUGGAGCCACGUCCCAGGGCUGGGGGCGCUGUGGGCACUGUGGGUGCCGCACCCACCGCUGCCCGGCACCGGAGGCCAAGAGAGCGUUCCCGACGGGCUCCGCGGAUGCCCCGCCGCGUCCUGCUGCCCAUCCUGCCCGGGUUGUCGCGGGCCGGGGGCACGACAAGAGGCCGGGGUCUGCCCGGACGCAGCGGCCUGCAGGGCGCAGCUGUCCCUCCACCAGCCGGGGUCCCCUCGCUCAGCCCAUGAGACAAAUAAAUGAAUACAUAAAUAAAUAAAUAAAUAAAA